This 73-nucleotide transfer RNA is filed under the name Myxococcales bacterium. RNAcentral's name for it is "tRNA-Met". It matches the Rfam family "tRNA". From Rfam's summary of the family: Transfer RNA (tRNA) molecules are approximately 80 nucleotides in length. Their secondary structure includes four short double-helical elements and three loops (D, anti-codon, and T loops). The record is from RNAcentral. Lineage: Bacteria; Pseudomonadati; Myxococcota; Myxococcia; Myxococcales.
CGCGGGAUAGAUCAGGUGGCAGAUCGCCGGGCUCAUACCCCGGAGGCCGUCGGUUCGAAUCCGACUCCCGCAA